CUGUAACAGUUUUGCUAUAAUUUAUCAGAAGGUCCAAAAGUUCGACAUAACUAUUUCAGUUUGCAUUAUUUAUUUAUGAUGCUUUUGUCAUUGUCUUUUAUACAUUUGGGAUUAUAAAUUAUGUAAAUGUUAAAAUGAGCAUCUCAAAGAAGUCUGUUAAAUCAUGGCCGGGGUGGGGAAAAAAAAAAAAAACAGCUUUAUUUUUAAAAAGUGGAGUCCCAGUUUUAAUGAAUCAGAGUUAUAAAUCAGAAAUUCUGUAAACCAAUUCCAUAAGAAGAAAGGAUCCAGUAAUUAAACCGAUUCUAUUUAAUGACAUCUUUGUCGCAUAGGUGGUCUCUAAUGCUGACAACAGAUUUCUUAGAAAUGCUGCUCUCUCUAUUUAACUAACAUUUUGUUCAGUUUUGCCUCCAGUGGAAGCAGAAAGGGUUUUUUCAGCUGUUAAAUCCUAAAAAUCAAUAUAAUUUAUUUAUGUAAAAAAAAAAUCACUCAAUUGAUAUAUUUUUGAACCUUUUAAGUACUAAUUUUCUUUUUAUCAAGUAGGAAAAAAAAAAUGUAUUUGCCCUAAAUCCUUAAAAUACAAAUGCUAUAAAAAUUCAUGUAUCUUGAAAGCCUUACUGCAAAUGAGUAUUAUAGACACCCAGCAGAGCCUGGGUUUUCUUUGCUGUCGUUGUUGUUGUUUUGUAUGGAAAGGCUGCUUUCCCCAGGUUCCACUUAGAACCUCCAGUAGGUCACAGGGUUCAGUAUGGAUUUGAUUUAACAACCCACCAGCAUGCUAAAAAUCCCUUGUUAUAUCUUAUCGAACCUGUAUGUUAACUCUCUGGGUGUUUAGGCUUCUCUUUGACUGCUAUUGUGUCCCUGUUUGCAAAAUGAAAAUGACACUCUGUGGAUUAUUUGCUCUGUAAGGCAUAAGUGCUUCUUAUGAUUAUUUUGACGUUUCCAAGAGCAAAAGCCAAAUUUAAAACUCUCUUCAGCAAACUUGAGCCUUUUCAUCUAAUUCCAUGUCACUCACAGCCAUAACUUUUCCUUGAUCGUUCUUCACCCCAUGUCUUACAUAAUAAAUUGUCUGUGGUCUCGAUCCUGGAUUUAAA
RNAcentral lists this long non-coding RNA (1088 nucleotides) under Bos taurus (domestic cattle). RNAcentral's name for it is "long non-coding RNA NONBTAT005701". The record is from RNAcentral. Lineage: Eukaryota; Metazoa; Chordata; Mammalia; Artiodactyla; Bovidae.